CAAUAGGAGGCGCGUUCCUGACAGAAAUACUAAAGUAGUGUGUCAAUCAAUAAACUGGGCUACCGAUCCCACUGUCAGACACCGAGCGAUCUGCUCUUUUAAGGGCGUUUUACUUUUAUAUAUUUAUAUAUUAGAGAGAUAUAGGCUAUGGCUGUCAAUGCGCGGUAUCUUCACACAGACACACUAGGGCUGAGCUCAUAUUGGGGGUUUUAAUAAGCCCGGCGACCACCAUGGAAGUCAGCCUUUUCUCUGCCUGAACAGUGAGCUGCAUCUGAACGCUUCCCCUUCUGCACCACUGACCCUGAUGAAAGCAAUGUUCACUCCCUGCCAGCGCUGCAAUUUCCCCAUACAACACACAGACCUACAAGGUGUGACUUUCAGAGGGGUGUUGGUUGCGGCGUGUGAAUCUGAAGGGCGAGAGGGUGGAUCACGAGGGGCCUGGAUCAUCAGGACACACACACACUCCCUCUGUGACAUCCAAGAGGGUCCGCAUCGCCAAGAACUCCAACCAGUCGAUGGCCCAGCAUGCUCUGCUCUCCACACCCUCGCAGCACGCCUGAAAUCACAGCCCUCCUGCAUCGCCUCAAACUGACAAAUGACGUAAUGUGCAGAAUCAAGCACCGGCCUUCGGAUGAAAAGAAACAUGUCCGCCACUGUCCCCAUCGGAAUGGAGAGGAGGUAUUGGACAUGUGCGUGAGACGCUAGGUAUUUUUGACCUGACAUCUCCUUCUGAAAGCGGUACACACACACACACACUAAUUAAAUACCUCUUUUUAGUUACUUAGUAGAGUGCUUGCUUUGUACAGGACUUUCCCAUUAACUUCCAUUCAUGAAGUUUGUUAGAUACUUCUAACUAUGUACCUGCCUGUGAUUGGCUCAUCUGUGUCUUAUCACCAGCAGGAAACGACCUCACUUCCUUCAGGAAUGACUUCAUGCGAAAUUAUGUGCCGCCACAGUGUCUCUCGGUUUUACUGCGUCUUCUCAGUGUGUAAACAGUCCAGUUUAGCCCAGUGUCACCAAGCUCUCAGACACAGGGAUACACACAUUCAUUCACACAGGCCUGAGGGCACUGACCUUCUCAAAAGAGCUGGAAGGAAACUGGUAGGGUUAGGACUAAAUAUGACCGGAGGAGGGUUCAAAAAGGACAGGUAGGCCAAACAGAUACUGAUACAGGUACAGAUAAAGAUGCACUAGUUAUAGAUGAUUAAUAUGGAUCAGCAUCAGAUCUGAUGAUUAGAUAAAAGGUUCCGUGUUUAUUUCAUCAUCUGUUCUUGUGAAGCGUUGUUUGGCCUACUGCCCUGCUCUUUUGUGUUUACGAGUUAAGCGGCUUGUUUUUCUGGCUGGCAGCCGUGUUGAAUGAAGGAAGUUGUUUCCGUAUGACUCCUUACACCAUUCCUCACAGCCUCUCUGUCUCUGUCAGCCACCGGAAUAAAUCGGGUGAUUCAUGACUGCUGGAUCAUCAGUCACCCAACGAAAAAGGCCUCUCCUGCACAUAGCGUGCAUGUGUUGUGUGUUUGUGUGUAUGUGCGUAUAUAUAUAUGUGUGUGUGUGUGUGUGUCUGUGCACUUCAAGACGUAGAGCAUGCAAUAAAUCUCUCCUUUUUAGCGUCGGGAGUGCAUGAGUGUGUCUGUAAGCCGGAGUGGCCCGAGGCUCUGCUCACUGGAACAAUGCAGAGAUCAAAGCCCAGAGCACUGACAGGUGAUGAGUGGCUUCCCGUGGCCGGAGCGCCGCAGCCAGGCUCACACCUGUACCAGGUGAUUACAGGUAGAUCUGCCUGCCUCUAAUUGGACAAUAAAUGCUGCUCUCAGCUCGCUAAUGGCAGCAGUCUGCCUCAGAGACGCCACACUGCCAUUUGGACGUCGCCAGUCCUACCUGAGCCUCUCCCUCUCUCUCUCUCUCUCUCUCUCUCUCGCUCUAUCUGUCUCUCUCCCACAGCUGAGAUGAUGACCUAGUCAAGGUCUAUUCAGAACAAACAACAAGACAAAUUACAAUCCAAGCCUUUAAUGUAAGUGUCAGAGAAAAACAAAGAGUGCAAGAGAGAGAGGGAGAGAGAGAGAAGUGGAGUCUCCUAUACUGCCUCGCUCGAACUGACUUAAUAAAAGAUUUAUUGUAUAUCUGACUUAGGGACAGUCUGCGCAAGUAAAAGUCUUGGGGAAAUUAUUUCACUUAAUACACUUACUGCACAUUAAAGUAGUAUCAGCAACCAGUUAAUCAGACGUUACAGGCUUGAUAAGGCUUAAUAAUAGCAUGCUAAUUAGUUUUUGUGUAAUGUAAAUACUAGAAUGUAUAAUAAUAAUAAUAAUAAUAAUAAUAAUAAUAAUAAUAAAAAAGUCAAUCAGCAACUAGUUAAUUUGCAGAUACUGAAUUGAUGAAGUUUAACAAGGACAUUUGAAAUGUACUGUGCUGUGUAAUAAACAAAUAAAAAGUCAUUUGGAAAAUGCUACAUUCCCCCAAUUUAUGAGUUCAAAAUAUUCCUCCCUGACUGAUAAUUAAUUAAUAAAGGUAUAAUACCAGCUUCUAAAAAAGUAAAAAAUAUACUAAAAUUCAAAGAUUCAUAAAAAAAUAGUUAUCAGAAUAUUAAUAGCUACAUGUUUCAUUUAUUACUGGUAUAAUAACAGGCUUUAAAAUAUUAUACAAAUGUCCAUAUAAUACCCUAAAAAAAGUAAUCUGGAAAAAGCCUACUGAAGAGCAGACAAUUAACUAACAGCUACAGCUUUCCUAAUGCUUAAUACUUAAUUAUCAAUCUGCUGACAUAAUAAUGCUUAAUAAAGGCAUAUAUAAAAACAAAUUGGUAAAAUAUUGUAAAGAAGAUUAUGAUUCGUACAACCCAAAUAAAACUUAUCUAGAAGUGGCUAAAUUCACAACAUUUGUGGUUUAGCAAAAUAGUAAUUAUUAGUCAGAUAAGUAGCAGCUACAGGUUUCACACAUUUUAUUUUAGGGUAUAAUAACACUUUCUUAAUAUAUUGUACAACUAAUUUUUUUUAUUUUAAAUAUAAAAAUGUUUUAUCAGUGUUGAAAUCCUAUGUCUUGCUUGCUCACACACAUUUUUCUGGAAUGUGCAUGAAGCCUGAAACCUCCUUCUCUGUUUUGUGUGUUAGUCUUUGUAGAUGCCUGAUAGUCUUCUGCAUCCUGUAGUACCAAAAAAUUGGAGGAUUAUGACAUACAGCCUUUAUGGAAACACUCAGUGGAAAAAAACACCCGGCUCUGCUGAGACUUGAACCUUGAUCCCAGCAUAAAGGUGCAUGUUCAGUUGAUAAAGGUGAUUCAAAUGGUUCUUUGAGUGAUGCCAGAGAAGAAUAAACUAAAUUCCAAGAAAUAUAGCAUAUAGAAGGUCUAAAGAACCUUCACUUCUUCAUGCUCACAUUUAAGUAAAUCAGUAAAUCAUAAACAUGAUUCUUCAAUGACCAUAGAACCAUGUGUAAUGUCUGUGUUAAAGAACAAGGUGUUUAAUACUGUUCUAGGUACCAUUUUAGGAAAAAUACAAUUGUAUCAUUAUUGUAACUUACUUUUUUAUUUGUGUACAGAGUUGUGAAUUAACUAUCAUCUAAAAAAUGUUUUAGAAUUACAGAAAUAAGUCAAAAUAAAAAUGAACUUCUCUUAA
Molecule: long non-coding RNA, 3601 nt
Organism: Astyanax mexicanus (Mexican tetra)
Lineage: Eukaryota; Metazoa; Chordata; Actinopteri; Characiformes; Acestrorhamphidae
Exons: 5
Source: RefSeq, a predicted model, not a curated record